AUUGAACGCUGGCGGCAUGCCUUACACAUGCAAGUCGAACGGCAGCACGGGAGCUUGCUCCUGGUGGCGAGUGGCGAACGGGUGAGUAAUACAUCGGAACGUACCCUGAAGUGGGGGAUAACGUAGCGAAAGUUACGCUAAUACCGCAUAUUCUGUGAGCAGGAAAGAGGGGGGAUCGCAAGACCUCUUGCUUUAGGAGCGGCCGAUGUCGGAUUAGCUAGUUGGUGAGGUAAAGGCUCACCAAGGCGACGAUCCGUAGCGGGUCUGAGAGGAUGAUCCGCCACACUGGGACUGUGACACGGCCCAGACUCCUACGGGAGGCAGCAGUGGGGAAUUUUGGACAAUGGGCGCAGGCCUGAUCCAGCCAUGCCGCGUGAGUGAAGAAGGCCUC
Molecule: ribosomal RNA, 391 nt
Filed under: uncultured bacterium
Lineage: Bacteria
Description: bacterial SSU rRNA
Rfam family: Bacterial small subunit ribosomal RNA
Source: RNAcentral